UGCGUAGGCGGAAUGAUAAGUCAGUGGUGAAAUCCUACAGCUUAACUGUAGAACUGCCAUUGAUACUGUUGUUCUUGAGUACAUUUGAAGUGGGCGGAAUGUGUCAUGUAGCGGUGAAAUGCAUAGAGAUGACACAGAACACCGAUCGCGAAGGCAGCUCACUAAACUGUAACUGACGCUGAGGCACGAAAGCGUGGGGAUCAAACAGGAUUAGAUACCCUGGUAGUC
This 228-nucleotide ribosomal RNA is filed under the name uncultured bacterium. RNAcentral's name for it is "partial 16S ribosomal RNA". It matches the Rfam family "Bacterial small subunit ribosomal RNA", at positions 568 to 795 of the family's 1533-position model. The record is from RNAcentral.